This 674-nucleotide long non-coding RNA is filed under the name Musa acuminata (dwarf banana). Its description in RNAcentral is "long non-coding RNA (MACU_LNC007224)". Lineage: Eukaryota; Viridiplantae; Streptophyta; Magnoliopsida; Zingiberales; Musaceae. The record is from RNAcentral.
GACGUAAACGUAAACUGCAAAGAAACUUGUUCGCAGAAAUCAGUUUGCAGUUAUAAACAGAAUCAAGACGUAAACGUAAACUGCAAAGAAACUUGUUUGUAGAAAUCAGUUUGCAGUUAUAAACAGAAUCAAGACGUAAACGUAAACUGCAAAGAAACUCGUUCGUAAAAGCGCAGAAGACAGUUUACAGUUAUAAAUAGAAUCAAAACGUAAGUGUAAACCGUAAUGUAGAGAUCGUACGAAAACACCGAUUUACGUCUGGAUGCAGAUUUGAAAAGAACAGAACUUAGAAACUUGUUCGUAAAAGCGCAGAGAGCAGUAGCUAUGUAGGAGGUUUGCAGUAAUGAUAAAGUGCUCAAAAUGAAAGCAAACCAGAGAUUUAGAGUGGUUCGGUCAGUCUUGACCUACUCCACUUUUGGCUUCCUCCACCGACGAGGUCACCGACGUCAACUAGAAGCCUUCCUUCAAUAGGCGAAGGCCAACUACCCUCUUACAGAUUCACUCCUUUUGACGGGCUUAGGAGACAACCCUUACAGAAGUUUUCUCUCCUCUCUUUACAACUCAAACUUGAAGAAUAGAAAGAGGAGAACUAGCAGUUUUGAGCUCUAAGAAACACAGAAAGAUAGCAAGAUUUCGAGUGUGUGUUCUGUGCUUUCAGUGCUGAAUGGGUGGGG